This 253-nucleotide ribosomal RNA is filed under the name uncultured bacterium. RNAcentral describes it as "partial 16S ribosomal RNA". It matches the Rfam family "Bacterial small subunit ribosomal RNA", at positions 524 to 776 of the family's 1533-position model. The record is from RNAcentral.
UACGGGGGGGGUAAGCGUUGUUCGGAAUUACUGGGCGUAAAGGGCUCGUAGGCGGCCAACUAAGUCGGACGUGAAAUCCCUCAGCUUAACUGGGGAACUGCGUCCGAUACUGAAUGGCUUGGAUUUGGGAGAGGGAUGCGGAAUUCCAGGUGUAGCGGUGAAAUGCGUAGAUAUCUGGAGGAACACCGGUGGCGAAGGCGGCAUCCUGGACCAACAUUGACGCUGAGGAGCGAAAGCUAGGGGAGCAAACGGG